This 524-nucleotide ribosomal RNA is filed under the name uncultured haloarchaeon. RNAcentral describes it as "bacterial SSU rRNA". It matches the Rfam family "Archaeal small subunit ribosomal RNA", at positions 1 to 527 of the family's 1478-position model. Lineage: Archaea; Methanobacteriati; Methanobacteriota; Halobacteria; Halobacteriales; Halobacteriaceae. The record is from RNAcentral.
AUUCCGGUUGAUCCUGCCGGGGGGACAUUGCUAUUGGGAUUCGAUUUAGCCAUGCUAGUCGAACGAGUUCAGACUCGUGGCGAAUAGCUCAGUAACACGUGGCCAAGCUCCCCUUCAGUCAGCGAUACCCUCGGGAAACUGAGGUUAACAGCUGAUACAAAACCCCAGCUGGAAUGCGGCGUUUCAGAAAGACAUCGCUGGAGGAUGCGGCUGCGGCCGAUUAGGUAGACGGUGGGGUAACGGCCCACCGUGCCAGUAAUCGGUACGGGUGAUGAGAGUCAGAGCCCGGAGACGGAAUCUGAGACAAGAUUCCGGGCCCUACGGGGCGCAGCAGGCGCGAAACCUUUACACUGCACGGAAGUGCGAUAGGGGAAUCUCAAGUGCGAGGGCAUAUUAGCCCUCGCUUUUCUCGACUGUAAGGUGGUCGACGAAUAAGAGCUGGGCAAGACCGGUGCCAGCCGCCGCGGUAAUACCGGCAGCUCAAGUGAUGUCCCAUAUUAUUGGGCCUAAAGCGUCCGUAGCUA